CGAAGUAAAAGUCGUAACAAGGUUUCCGUAGGUGAACCUGCGGAAGGAUCAUUAUUGUAUAACCGAGGUGCGAGGGCUGUCGCUGACCCGAAAGGUCGUGCACGCCCGAGUGCCCUCACACACAUCCACCUCACCCCUAUGUGCACCACCGCGUGGGUCCCCCUUUGGCUUGUUCGGAGGGGGGCUUACGUUUUCACACAAACUUUGUAUGCAGUGUAGAAUGUAUUUUUUGUUUUUGCGAUCACGCAAUCAAUACAACUUUCAACAACGGAUCUCUUGGCUCUC
RNAcentral lists this unclassified non-coding RNA (285 nucleotides) under plant metagenome. RNAcentral describes it as "partial contains small subunit ribosomal RNA, internal transcribed spacer 1, and 5.8S ribosomal RNA". The stretch from base 1 to 54 matches the Rfam family "Eukaryotic small subunit ribosomal RNA", at positions 1778 to 1831 of the family's 1831-position model. The record is from RNAcentral.